UUUAAAGUCUGACCUGCCCAAUGAUUAGUUUGAAUGGCCGCGGUAUUUUGACCGUGCAAAGGUAGCAUAAUAAUUAGUUUUUUAAUUGAAAACUGGAAUGAAUGGUUGAACGAGAAAAUAACUGUCUCAAUUUAAUUUAUUAUGAAUUUUAUUUUUAAGUUAAAAAGCUUAAAUAUAACUUAAAGACGAGAAGACCCUAUAGAGUUUAAUAUUUUUACUUUAUAUAUUAGUUUAGUAUUAUAUUUAUAUCUAGAGUUAUAUAUUUUGUUGGGGUGACAGGAAAACUGAUUAAACUUUUCUUUUUUAAAAACAUUGAUUUAUGGUUAAUUGAUCCGUAAUUUACGAUUAUAAGAUUAAAUUACCUUAGGGAUAACAGCGUAAUUUUUUUUGAGAGUUCUUAUCGAAAAAAUAGUUUGCGACCUCGAUGUUGGAUUAAAAU
Molecule: ribosomal RNA, 439 nt
Filed under: Orphnus sp. BMNH 793037
Lineage: Eukaryota; Metazoa; Arthropoda; Insecta; Coleoptera; Scarabaeidae
Description: partial 16S ribosomal RNA
Rfam family: Bacterial large subunit ribosomal RNA
Source: RNAcentral